UACCAAUAAGCAGUGAUCGGUUUCUUUUGUUUGUUUUUCUAUUGUUUACCUACUAUAUUAGAUGAUGACUUACCUCCAAAACGCUUUAAAACUUUCGUUUAUAAUUCUAAGUGUGUUUAUAAUUAAAGAGCGGCAGUGAAAUAAAAUGAAUUCUUCAAGAAAGGCAGCACCCAUGACAAAAGAUGAGACGAUGAUUCUAGCAGAACUUGUGGCGGCGAAAAAACAUUUCAAUAAUAAGGCAACAAAUGCCACAAACAAUAAAUUGAAGGAGCAGGCUUGGCAAACCCUUGUAAAUGAUUUUAAUUCGUCGAUUCGUCGUUUCCCACGAACUCCAUCGCAGCUUCGACUAAAAUGGGAAAACUUAAAGAACGCUACGGCAACAUAAGAAAUAACCUUAGUAAGGCUGGAGGUGGUAAGGAUUGCAGAUGAAAUUUUGGAUAAAGCAUGCACAUUGUUGUAGGUCACAUAUAAUAUUUUUAACACUUUUAUAGCCAAGCGGAAACAAGAUGGAAGAAAAGAAAUGCAAGGCUAGCAUAGGGACAAUGCAUUAGCAGAAUAUCUAAUAGCAAAAAAGAGACUUGACUUGGAAAAUAAAGAAAAGGAGAUUGUUGUAGCAAAAGUUAAGUUAGAUUUAGAUAAUUUAAAAAAUUAAAAAUUACUUAAAAGGAAUAUUAAAUUUCAUAAAUUAAGUAGGCAAUAAUAAUUUUAUGUUAGAUAGUUUUUUAAGUAUAUGUACAAAUUCAAAAUUAAAUAUCUUGCAUGUACUAACUACCAUGUAAUUAUCAUUUUGGAAAAUAAAAAAUAGUCAAAUUA
Molecule: long non-coding RNA, 813 nt
Organism: Bombyx mori (domestic silkworm)
Lineage: Eukaryota; Metazoa; Arthropoda; Insecta; Lepidoptera; Bombycidae
Exons: 3
Source: RefSeq, a predicted model, not a curated record